RNAcentral lists this ribosomal RNA (894 nucleotides) under uncultured bacterium. Its description in RNAcentral is "bacterial SSU rRNA". It matches the Rfam family "Bacterial small subunit ribosomal RNA", at positions 8 to 916 of the family's 1533-position model. The record is from RNAcentral.
AGAGUUUGAUCCUGGCUCAGAAUGAACGUUGGCGGCGUGGAUUAGGCAUGCAAGUCGUGCGUGUACCCCGCAAGGGGGAAAGCGGCGAAAGGGAGAGUAACGCGUGGUUAUCUACCCCCGGGACCGGGAUAGCUGCGGGAAACUGCAGGUAAUACCGGAUGAUGUCUCCGGACCAAAUGGUGUGAUUCCGCCAGGGGAUGAGACCGCGUCCUAUCAGCUAGUUGGCGAGGUAAUGGCUCACCAAGGCUAAGACGGGUACGGGGUGUGAGAGCAUGCCCCCGCUCACUGGGACUGAGAUACUGCCCAGACACCUACGGGUGGCUGCAGUCGAGAAUCUUCGGCAAUGGGCGCAAGCCUGACCGAGCGACGCCGCGUGUGGGAUGAAGGCUUUCGGGUUGUAAACCACUGUCGUAGGGGAGGAAAUGCAUCAGGGUACUCUCUGGUGUUUGACCUAUCCUAGGAGGAAGUACGGGCUAAGUUCGUGCCAGCAGCCGCGGUAAGACGAACCGUACAAACGUUAUUCGGAAUCACUGGGCUUAAAGGGUGCGUAGGCGGCGAGGAAAGUUGGGUGUGAAAUCCCUCGGCUCAACCGAGGAACUGCGCUCAAAACUACCUUGCUUGAGGAAGAUAGAGGUGAGCGGAACUUAGGGUGGAGCGGUGAAAUGCGUUGAUAUCCUAAGGAACGCCAGUGGCGAAAGCGGCUCACUGGAUCUUUUCUGACGCUGAGGCACGAAAGCUAGGGGAGCGAACGGGAUUAGAUACCCCGGUAGUCCUAGCCGUAAACGAUGAGCACUGGGUUGGAGGGCCCCCCAUAGCCUUCCAGCCGUAGCGAAAGUGUUAAGUGCUCCGCCUGGGGAGUAUGGUCGCAAGGCUGAAACUCAAAGGAAUUGACGG